RNAcentral lists this long non-coding RNA (5525 nucleotides) under Lactuca sativa (garden lettuce). Its description in RNAcentral is "long non-coding RNA (LSAT_LNC004456)". Lineage: Eukaryota; Viridiplantae; Streptophyta; Magnoliopsida; Asterales; Asteraceae. The record is from RNAcentral.
UCUUAAGAGCACUGACAAGUUUUAAGCCUCACCUAAUUUGCUUGUAGGUUGGCUUCUCCGAUUAUAGCAAACGUUUUUAGUUUUAGUUGGCUAUUUCUCGUAUUAGUCGGAUUCCUCAAUUCUCAAUUUCUCGUUUGCUUAUCUGCUCCAUGUUUUACACCGCUUAUUCAAUAUAGGUUAUUUUCCUCAUUCUCUAUCUAUGUAAUGAUGUUCUUGUUGAUGAUGAUGGACUGUCAAAUUCCUCAAUUCUCGAUUUCCCAUUUGUAUAUACCUUCCACGUUUUCCACUGCUUAUUCAAUACCAAUUUUCUUCUUCAUUCUCUCUCUAGGUAACGAUGUUCUUAUCGAUGAUGGUAUGUAUCCACCGUAUGGCUUCAUUUAGAAUUAUUUUCCAGUAAAUCCUCUAUGUUUCAACCAUUAUGUGACAUCCAUGAAGGAUCAAGUCAUUUGAUUUUCAUCUUUCGGAAGCUAGGGUUACGUCCAAGGUAAAAAUGAUUUGGGGGUUUUCAAUUCUUGCUAGAAACUAAUUUUAUAAGGGCCUAACAUAUAAUACUUACGGUUUUUAUUGCAAAUACGCUUGAAUCGUUCCCCUUUCGUAAUUUCUAUGAGCACUAUAAAAUAUUCUUUUAUUUUCCACAAAUAUCAAGUAAUUUCUUAAGGGUAAACCCAGGUAUGUUGGUGGUGAAUAGUAUAUGGAGGAAAUCGAGUUCUGAAUGCCUCUAUUAUGACAACUUUGGGAUUUAGAUGGUGGAAAAAGAUCACUAGCAUUCCGCUUCAAAAUUACAUGAGAAUCUAAAGGUAUCAACCAAGAUUCUUUUCAACUUUUAUGAUUGCUACUAUUUGGUUGGCGUUCCUGAUAACUUAAACCAAACCUUUUACUUCUCUAGGUUUAAUCUACUUCUGUUAUAUAGUAAGAUAAGAUAAUUUUCAAUUUGAAAUGUUUUGUUACCUUCAAGCAAGAACCAGUAUGCAAUCUAUAACAUCUCCAAGAACACUUACGAACUCAAGGGUUUUAAAAUGUUUCAGUAAAAAUCAUAGAGAAUUUGAUAAUUUGGUUAGAACAUAAUUUAACAAUGCACUUCUGUUGAAGUCAUUAUGGAUUUGACAUGUUAGUAACUUAAAAUCAUUAUGGAUUCAACCUGGUUGUGUAUAAUAAUUCACUAUUGUUGAUUAGCUUGUUAUAUUAUUAUGCUUCUAAUUUUGUCUAUAAUACCAAUGUAAUUUUCAAAAAUCCAUCCAAUUUCAACAAAGUCUUUGAUAUUGCUAAGAUUAGUCAUUUAAUGUGAUUAAUUAUAUUAGUAAUUUAAAUAGACAAUUAUAGAAUAAGGAGAAAUAUGAUACAAAUAUGCUAAUAUAUGAUAAUUAAGUCCAAAAUCAAGAGAUAAGCCUUAAAGAAGAAAAAAUGAGCAAAAAUGGAGUGGAUAAUGAAGAAAAUCAAAGAUAAAACAAAUUGUGGAGUUACCAUCGAGACAAAUAAAUGUUAGUGAUGCAAAUUAGAAGAUUAUUUUGGGGUUAGCUUCGUGCCAAUAAGUUUAAUUACAUAUAAAUACGAGGAUUUCACAUCUCAAAAAAGUGUGAAAGAAACAAAAAAACCCUCUGAUGUACGAAAGGAAUGCUUAUUUCAUUCCUAAAGGCAGAGAGGUUGAAGAGGUGAUCUAGAAGAGAAUUAUGGAAGAAAUCAAGAACAAAUUAUUAGGUUUGCAAUUCUUGGCAAUCUUUUUAUUUGUUUCUUUCGUUUUUCCGUAAAACACGAGAGACUAAAAACUUACUCUUCAAUAAAUUUCUUAUUUUUAAUACCUAUCAUUGAGUUGCAUAUGAUUCUAAAUCUAGUUAUUGUGACUUGCUGCUUAUAUUUUUGACCUAGAAACUAUUAAAUACCAGUGAUUAAAAAAUCCUAGGUUUAUGUGGUAUUAAUUGAUAUAUUUAACAUAUAACAGUGCAUUGGUUUUACAAGUAUUGUUAGGCUUAAUCUUAUUAAACUACUGAUUUAAUCAUAGGUAAUUUUAGACAAUUAAUUUGUUUAAAGGUUUCUAGUUUGAUAAACAUUGAAUUAGAUAUUUACUAAUCAUAAAAACUAGUAAUUAAUCUUAUGUGUUAGUAUAAUUUGUAGAAUCAUAAUACUUCAUUACACUAUCAUCAAGUCACUACUGGAAAUAAAGAUUUGAAGUUUAAGUGCUCAUUACACUAUCAUCAAGUCACUACAGGAAAUAAGGAUUCGAAGUUUAAGUAGAAGUCCUUCAAAAUCAUUCUAUAAAACUAGUAUUUUUUUUUAAGAAUUUGAGUUUAAUCGGAUUAAAUUAUAAACCUCGUGAAUUUAAUUCUUUUCAGGUAAAUUGAUUCAGUCUGUUAAUAGUCAUACCUAAUCGCCGAGAGUUUGACACCCUUAUUUACCAUAACUAUAAUAUAUUUGAUCAAUGUGAGUGUUAAAUAAGAAGUAUUAGAUAAAGGUUUUAUAAAUUUACAACUUAAAGAAAAGUUUAUAUAAAAAUUUCACAUCAAAUGUUUUGUGCCAUUAUCGUGGAUUAGUUUUAUCUUUAGCAGAUUAAUUAAUUUUGUAAAUCGUACUUAGAAUUUUAUUUUAUGUAUUUAUCUGGUUAAAAAGUUGUAUGAAUUCAUGAUUUUCACUAUGUGAAAACCCUAUUAUCGCAUCGUGAAUAUUGCUGAUUCCGGAUUCUAUUUAUAAUUACUUUUUGUUCAAUUUUAUGCUUAUUUUAGUUUUUUUUAUAUUAUUUGUAACAAUAAAUGACCAGAGGGUUUAGUUCUAGGCUCGAUUCACUAUUUGAAGAUCCCAUUGUGAGUUACACAAAAGACUAAAGAAGGGCGAAAAAAGAUUUACGGACAAAGAAGACUAUCUUUUCGAGAAAAGCCAACCAUAAUUAGAGUAAAGAAGUGAACAGGAAGAUCAGGAAGAUAUGACGGACUAAUCGGUCUAUUUUUAUAAAAAAAAUCAAUUUUAUUAAAUUUCUUGAUUUGAUGUUUGACUGCCUAUGAAUGGAACUACUUUGAUAGAAUGUUGAAUAUUAUGUGUAGGUAAUUAUAUAGUCAUAAAGUUGGCGGAACCUGCAUGGAAAACUAGCAAAAGGAAACUAAUAACCAUGAUAUAUGAAUUGCUAAAGUGAUGAAGAAAAUGUUGUUGGGAAAAUUAACCACUCUUAAAUGUUAUUGUCAUAUCUAAAGCUCUGGAGCACCAAUUGAACUGAUUCUAGAAGAUUAGGAAACUAGAGAAAAUUUCCUACAACUUUCAUGUUUUGAGUUUCUAUUGAUUAUGUCGUUUUCAUCAGCAAAAAUGUGCAUGGAAGAUGAAGGAUGUGUGUCAUGCAUCAAUGACAGCCUGAAGGAUGUUGUGGUCAAAUCACUCAAUAUCUUAGUAGAUAGUAGAACAGGAAAUGAAGAAACCAUGUUGGUAUCAAACAUGGUCUAAAUGAUGUCACCAAGGAUACCAGAGCUUUAUUCGGAUGUAUCGUGUUGGAAUGGUGACUUACGAAAAGUGCUUAAACUUGCAAAGGACGCCCAUCAGGCAUCAAGGUCAUCCCCAAGGAUGCCUACCCACUUUAGGCCAUUUUAUAGUGCAAAAUCAAGGAAGAAAAAUACCAUGCAAAAAUGGUAUCAAGGACGCCUAGGCAUCCUGCACGACAUCAAGGAUGUUACCAAAGAUGUCCACCGUCCCACAUUUGUAAUAGUCAGAAUUUAGGUAAUUACUUUUCUUUCCCUUAGAAUGAAUUUUCUUUUCAAGAAGAGUCCCUACAUAUGUUGGGCGUACAUAGGUGUACGCUUAGCAUAAUAGGGAAGGCUGGUCGCGGACAUGCACCACGUAUGCGAGGCGUACCAAGAAGUACAUGGGACGUACGUGGCUCAAUACUCUUAUGUUGCUUGGACCUUACCCUAUACAGCCUCCAUAGUAAAUUAUCAUCCCAAAUCCCUUGAUUUGCAUGAGAGUGUAAUCUUUGAGCUUAAAAGUGUUUUGGUGGCCAUUUUAGUGGGUUUACAAGAAGAAGAUAGUGGUGAUCAAGUCUUGGAUGUUAUUGAGCUUCCAAGUCCUGCAUCUAGUUCAUCUUGAGGAACUUCUAGAGAUAAAAAGUCUAUACCUUGCCAUCUCUUUUUCUAGUUUGAGUAAGGGUUUGUUGUGAAGUCCAUUUUUCGUUAAUGGACCCUUUCUUGUGAGUUUGAGCAACUCCAUAGGCUUGAAAUGUUAGAUCUAAGCUCCGUGGACAUGCUUGAUGCAUAAAAAUGCCAUUUUGAAGGUUGUAUUGGUAUCAUGCAUGAGUUUAAGGUCUUAAAAGUGGACUUAAUGGGAAAAAUGGGGUAUUGGAGUUCCAUGUGGCAUGCAAGGGCAUAAAGUUACCAAUUUUAUGGCCUAGGACAUCCUAAUAGACUCAUAUCUAGAGUUAGACGUUGAGAUCUCAAGUAUUAAGCACUUAAUGGACUUUUUUGUAUGGGUUGUUUGUACGCCGGGCGUAAUGAUUUCUACGUUGUGCGUACGGAAAAGGACUUAGUACGUUAAGCGUACUGAUGUAGUAUGGUGGGCGUAUGCAACCCAAAUGUGUUUGGGCUUCAUUGGGCUUGUAAGCUUAUUGGACCAUAUUCAACCUUGGGCCUGUACCCAAGAAGAAUUAUUGGACUUUUGUUCUAGCUUGGGCUAUAGUUGGCAUGAUUGGGCCUUUUGGGUCUGGUGGCUCAUUAUGGUUUUGGACUUUAAUGUUGGGCCCAUUAAGGAAAGGGAGGCCUUUGGGCCAUCAUGGAGGGACUUGGACUUAGGAUUUUGGGCCUUUGUCUAGGUUGUGUCAUAAUCCUAAUUAGGGCUAUUUGUAUAUUCUUACAGUGUGAGAAUUUGGAUUGGUAGUCGAGCAGCUAUUGUUUUCAGCAGACUGAGGUGAGUCUUCUCAUUAUACCAAUAGGUCAAAGGCACCAAUGUCGGCCCAUUACUUGAUAUGAGGUUUCAAUAGUUAAAUAUGCAAUGGUUUUGUUAUUUGGUAGGUUAUGACUUAUGUGAAGAGCAUGGGGGAUGCCAUGGCACUUAGUAAAGACUAUGGUGGGAGCUUAUGGCCCAUGGAUGUAAGACCAUGGGGUAGCCCAUGACAUUCCGGGUGAAGACCAUGGUGGGAGUCCACGGCAAUCCUAUGUAUAUAUGUCACAUGGCAGUAUGUACUUAUAUGUUUUGUGUAUUUUGGGAACUCACUAACCAUUUGCUUACAGUUUUGUUGGGUGUUUCAGGUACUUCUAGUUCUAAGGGCAAUGGCACGACUUGAUGGCGCAACAUGCACUCUCCAGUAUUUCCGCAUUCAUUGUUUUGGAUACUCUGAUUUUAUGUACUUGAGUUUAUGUAAUGGUAUUUUGCAAAACAAAAUAUGGUUGUAAUCUUUAAAUAUUAAAUGAAAAAUUUUACCUAAAUUUUUGGGGUAUUACAAAUUGGUAUCAAAGCCUUGGUUUGAGGGGUUUGGGCACACUUUCAGGUGUGUCAGAACACAAACCGCGGAACUGGUAAACGCUUUUUCAAAAGAAACAAAAGUUAACUUUUUCUGAGAAAGG